Oncorhynchus keta (chum salmon) is the source of this 548-nucleotide long non-coding RNA. RefSeq lists it as uncharacterized. The transcript is spliced from 4 exons. NCBI's taxonomy places the organism in Eukaryota, Metazoa, Chordata, Actinopteri, Salmoniformes, Salmonidae. The record is from RefSeq and is a predicted model, not a curated record.
AUAUACAGAGGUUGUAACAUAGAGGAAGACAGGCUGAUAUAUAUACAGAGGUUGUGACAUAGAGGAAGACAGACUGAUAUAUAUACAGAGGUUGUGACAUAGAGGAAGACAGGCUGAUAUAUAUACAGAGGUUGUAACAUAAAGGAAGACAGGCUGAUAUAUAUACAGAGGUUGUGACAUAGAGGAAGACAGGCUGAUAUAUAUACAGAGGUUGUGACAUAGAGGAAGACAGGCUGAUAUAUAUACAGAGGUUGUGACAUAGAGGAAGACAGGCUGAUAUAUAUACAGAGGUUGUGACAGAGGAAGACAGGCUGAUAUGUAUAUAGAGGUUGUGACAUAGAGGAAGACAGGCUGAUAUAUAUACAGAGGUUGUGACAUAGAGGAAGACAGGCUGAUAUAUAUACAGAGGUUGUGACAUAGAGGAAGACAGGCUGAUAUAUAUACAGAGGUUGUGACAUAGAGGAAGACAGGCUGAUAUAUAUACAGAGGUUGUGACAUAGAGGAAGACAGGCUGAUAUAUAUAUAGAGGUUGUGACAGAGGAAGACAG